CGUCCGCUAGAUGGCGCUGCUCCGUGCAUCCCGAUAGGCCCCGCCUGCCGCUGGGCGGGCGCCGGAAGGAUGGGGAAGGACCGGGAAGGACCCGGAAGGCCCUGGGGUCGCGCGUUCAGGCCGUAGCGCCGCCUCUGGGGCUGAUUCGGGCCCGCCCUGCGGCUGCGUUCGGCGCUUGGGAACUAGAGCCACUUUUCAGCUGCCGCUGGCUCCCAUCUCAGCGCUUUUGCACCGAGAGUCGGUGUUUUUGCACGCUUCUCCCAGUGUUUGACCAACUGUGCCUGGAACUGGGCCAGGGAGAGGAAGUUACAGAGGGUUUGCAAAAUAACUUCCCCUCGCUUCUGAAGGCAGGUGAGUGAGCCCAACCUGCAGUAGGAGGGACAAAGACUAGACGGCGAGAGGGAUUUUAUUUGCCUACAGACAGCAGUGUUGAGUGAGCUAGGUUAGAAACCCUCUUUUGGAGAUCUGUAAGAAUGAUAACUGCCCAGUUAGGUGCCCGGU
RNAcentral lists this long non-coding RNA (501 nucleotides) under Sus scrofa (pig). Its description in RNAcentral is "lncRNA (ENSSSCG00065054399.1)". Lineage: Eukaryota; Metazoa; Chordata; Mammalia; Artiodactyla; Suidae. The record is from RNAcentral.